GGAUAACGCUGACCCUGAAAAAUGAACCCUGCUCUGGAGGAAUCUAUAGUUAAACUGGGUGCAGUGUUUUCCAUGCUGUUUUAUGGCAACUUGUUGCUGGGGCCCCAUUUAACCCCAAGAGAUCCAGAACCUGGGCAGAAUCAGAAAGAAAUCCAGAGAGCAAACUGGUUAUUUAAGAGUAAAAGAGCCUUACUUCUACCAACAGUACAAUAUAUGACUUUGAAUGAAGUUAUUUUUGGAUCACAGAGGUACAGUUACAAAGGUUCAGUUACACUUCUAGAAAUUCCAGCACCCUGUGGAUUAUGUAGAAAGUGCUCACCAAGAAAGGCCAGUGCAUGGAAACUCAACUUUCUGAAGCUUUCCAUCUGGAGGAGAGACUGUCUCCCAGUGUUCCUGACUUCCUUCGAGUCUCAGCUAAGUCCCUUAAUCUUAGUGCCUUCCCUCUGAAACUAGCCUCAAUUUACCCUGGAUAUAUUUUUUGUUUGUACAUAGUUGCUUGUAUUCUGUCUCCCACAUUGGAGUAAUGGUUCUAGUGACUGGGAGGGACUUCAAGUAGAAUUUGAUGUUUGAACUGCAUUUUAAAUUAAGAAAUGAACAUUGCCUCAGUCAAAGUGAGACCUGGGAAAGACCUUAGCUUAAAAGGGCCAAGGUUUCCCACUAUAUCUGGGGCCAUCUCCAGUCAUCUUGAUCUAUAUCUUGCCACUGGAUCCAGAUGGCUCCAGAGGACAGAGUAAGCAACCUUGCACAGCACCCCCUCCUUUAAAUAUUCACUUGCAAGUCAAGGCAUCACCUUCCUGAUGUCAUGGUCCUCUUCAAGAAGGAAGGGCAAACAACAACCUGUAAGUAGUAGUAGCUGCCCCAAUGAGGAUGCAACUGGCCAGUUCCAGUUAGACAAUGCAGCUCCUUCCUUCCUUCCCUCACUCCCUCCUCUCUUUCUGUCUACAUAGGCUAUCAUACCCUUACCUGCAGGUGCUCUGCCCAGGGAAAUAUAGAUUUUGAUUGCUGAAACCUGGCAAGAUAUCUUGAGUUUAUGGGACAGAUUUAUGUCUUAAGCACCUUACUUUAAACUCAAAUCCAUCUGGCUCUCAUUGAUUGGCCAACAAUAGGUCCCAGCCAAAGCCUUACUUUGUCAUCG
RNAcentral lists this long non-coding RNA (1135 nucleotides) under Phascolarctos cinereus (koala). RNAcentral's name for it is "lncRNA (ENSPCIG00000037038.1)". The record is from RNAcentral. Lineage: Eukaryota; Metazoa; Chordata; Mammalia; Diprotodontia; Phascolarctidae.